UUGUGUGUGUGUUUGUGUGUGUUUGUGUUCCAGUGCUCCUCUGGAUCAUGAGUACUACGACCCCACUGACUAUCUGGAUGGCAGCCGACAUGAAGUGGAUCGGACAGACGAUCUGGAGUACGAGGAGGUGGAGCUGUACAAAUCCAGCCAACAGGACAAGCUGGGCCUGACUGUAUGCUACAGGACCGAUGAAGAGGAGGAUCUGGGUAUCUAUAUCGGGGAGGUGAACCCAAACAGCAUCGCAGCCAAGGAUGGGAGGAUCAGAGAGGGGGAUCGGAUACUGCAG
This is a long non-coding RNA of Polyodon spathula (Mississippi paddlefish), 286 nucleotides long. RefSeq lists it as uncharacterized. The record is from RefSeq and is a predicted model, not a curated record. The transcript is spliced from 3 exons. NCBI's taxonomy places the organism in Eukaryota, Metazoa, Chordata, Actinopteri, Acipenseriformes, Polyodontidae.